Molecule: ribosomal RNA, 253 nt
Filed under: uncultured bacterium
Lineage: Bacteria
Description: partial 16S ribosomal RNA
Rfam family: Bacterial small subunit ribosomal RNA
Source: RNAcentral
UACAGAGGUCCCAAGCGUUGUUCGGAUUCAUUGGGCGUAAAGGGUGUGUAGGUGGCGCCGUAAGUCGGGUGUGAAAUCUCGGAGCUUAACUCCGAAACUGCAUUCGAUACUGCCGUGCUUGAGGACUGGAGAGGAGACUGGAAUUUACGGUGUAGCGGUGAAAUGCGUAGAUAUCGUAAGGAAGACCAGUGGCGAAGGCGGGUCUCUGGACAGUUCCUGACGCUGAGGCACGAAGGUCAGGGGAGCAAACGGG